This 3270-nucleotide long non-coding RNA is filed under the name Nicotiana benthamiana. Its description in RNAcentral is "long non-coding RNA (NBEN_LNC022174)". The record is from RNAcentral. Lineage: Eukaryota; Viridiplantae; Streptophyta; Magnoliopsida; Solanales; Solanaceae.
AAUCCAACACAUCCCAAACCUAGGUGUCACAAGUCACGAGCAUCUAUGAAUAUAUGAAUACAACUACGGAGUCUGGAAUACACAAAAUAGAACUGAUAAGUAAAGGAAGAAAUAUGAUGUUGCGAACGCUGGCAGUCACCUACUCCAAUUAUUUAGCUCCGAUCAGCCCAAAACCCGCUCCCAGGUGAACACAUACCUGCAUCUGCACACGAGGUGCAGGGAUUAAAGUGAGUACUCCAACUCAAUGAGUAAUAAAGGUAAAUAAUAACUGAGCAGUAAGAAAAUCACGUAAGGCAAAUCAUCAUGAUGUAUAGAAGCAGUAUAAAACCCCUUGAGAAAAGCAAUGAAGUUGUGAAAUCUUCAGAAGACGUCUUAACCCAGUUUAAACCUCUCUUAAAAAUGACUUUUCAACAGUUAUGCAAAUGAAUGCGAAAUAAUUUGUAUAGAUAAGCAAUCCGCCCCUCGGGCGCAACACUCACUCGAAGGAAAAUGCCAGGCAAUUGGGUAGAUAUCAUAUUAAAUAGCACAACAACAUAUAAUGGCAGACAAAUAAAUAAGUAAAAACAUAAAACGAGUACCGAUACCGCUGCGGCGUGCAGCCCGAUCUGUAUAUCGUUGCAUUGUUAGGCCCAAUCUAUUUAUCGUCAAUGGCGCUUACAGGAGGUGUGCAGACUCCAGGAGGGGUCGCUUACGGCCCAAGCGCAAUAUCAAGACAUCUCGUGGCACUAACUAGUCCCUUGACCUCAUAUCGAUAUCACUAUAAUACAGCUACAGCACGCAGCCCAAUCCUAUACUUAGUCCAUAAAUCACAUAGCCCUCAGGCAAUAACAAAAUAGUGAUUUUAAAAUAGAAAAAAACGGUACAAUUGAGUUAAAGUAGUAAGUCAAACAGUGAGAAAAUAGUGAUGAAAUCCUCUGAGGGUUCAAAUAGUUGGCACGAAGCCCAAUCAAGGCAAUCAAUCCAAAUAAUGAUGAUAGCACAUAAGUUUCAAUCAAAUACAUGAUAAAAACAUCAAUUGGGACGAGCUAAGUCACAAUCUCCAAUAGUAAACGACCUCACGCUCAUCAUCACGCACGUGUCGCGCCUCAAUAUAGCACUAUGAUGUGCACAUCCGGGGUUUCAAAUUCUCAGGAUAUCAUUUACAAUUAUUACUCACCUCGAACAUGCAAAAUCUCUAACUCGCGACGCCUUUUCCCCUCAAUUCGGCCUCCAAACGCAUCGGAUCUAUCUAAAACCCAAACGAAUACGUCACAAUAUACUAAGAAAACAAAUUCCAAUUGAAAAAAAUUGAAAAAAUAUCAAAAAUCACGAAAUUAGCAAAACUCGAGCCCCGGGACCACUUCUCGAAACUCGGCAAUUUUUACAUCAACGGGUUCCUUAUCCCCUUACGAGCUCAUACAUACUAAAAGUUCUAAAAUCUAACCUCAAAUGGUCCGUCUAAUCCAAAUUUAAAAUACAAUUUCUCAAGCCCUAGUUCUUCAAUUUUGGGCUUAGUUUCCAUAAAUUUCUAGGUGGAUUUUCCAAUAAAAUGAGUUUUAGAGUUCAUAAAUCUUACCUCCAAUCGACUACCUUCGAAUCCCUCUUCAAUUCCUUUAUAAGCUCUCAAAAAUUGCCAACAAUGGAGUGAAAAUGAGCUCCAACCCGCGAAUGAAAUGUUUAAAGACCUUCUGCCUAGCUUCUGGAAUCCCUUCUACGCGAACGCGGUCAAACCCCCACGUUCGCAAUGCACAAAUAUUUCCUUAACCAAAAUUACCCUUCGCGAACGCGUCUGCACACCCGCAAACGUGAUGUUUUGGGCCUCUGAACCUACGCAAAUGUAAUACCUUAUACGCGAACGCGAAGAGCAAUGGCUCUUGGAACUUCACGCGCCAAACAUCACUAUGUAAACGCGACCCAUAACACGCGAACGCGAAGCACAACCACAAGAACCCUCCGCGAACGCGAGACGCCAGAUGCAAACACGAAGCACAAACUCUAGGCCACCCAAACUCCUUUUACGUAAAUGCGAGGGCCUUCUCGCGAUCCCGAAGGCAAAAAUCUGCAUGCACCUACUGCUACAUUGUUUUCAAUUCUCCUAAGUCCAAAACUUCCUGUUAACCAUCUGAAAUCACCUCGAGGCCUCCGGGACCUCAACCAAAAGCACCAACACAUCCUAAUAAUCAUCCAAACUUGUUCCAAUCAUCAAAACACCUCAAACAACACCAAAACCAUCAAUUCACAUCGAAUUCAAGCCUAAGUUUUCAAAAAAAUUCCGAAACACGCAUUUGAUCAAAAACCCGACCAAACCACCUUUUUGCACACACGUCCUAAAUUACAUAAAGAAGCAACAGAAACUCUCAAAUUCAAUUCCGACCCUCGUAUCAAAAUCUCACCUAUCAACCGGAAUUCGGUGAAAUACUAACUUCUCCAAUUCAAGCCAAAUUCUACACCGGACCAUCAAAACCACAUCUGAUCACACUCCUAAGUCACAAAUCACCCAACGAAGAUGACCAAAUCAUAGAAUUUUUUAUCCGAGCUUAUAUACAAAUAAGUCAACUCUUGUUCAACCCCUUAAAAAGUCAAAGCUUUCAACUAAGACUGUUUUUUCAAAUUCAUACCAAUUUUCGUAAUCACCAAAACCAAUAAUCUGCAUCAGUCAUAAAACGUCAUAUGGGGCAAGUCAUGCCCAAGAACUGGCGAUCAAAGUGCACAAACUCAAAAGUACCGGUUGAGUCGUUACAUGAAAUUUCAUCUCUCAAACAAAUACUCCUCAGUAAGGAUAUCAUCAUUACGAAUAACAUCAAAGACUAGUUAAAGAAGGAAUCCUAUGUAACAUGUUGGAUCAAACUAGAUUAUGACAUAAUCAGUCCAUACAUUAAUUUAGCAAGUAAAAUUUGAGAGAAAUCUUGACAACACUAGACAUAUACAGUAGAAUCUGAUACUUAACAUAAAAUACAUGUACUCAAGCAUGGAUUAAAUAAAGAUUUUCAUUCAUUCAAUGGAAAAGUAUGGAGGUACAGCCACAUACCUAAAGGCAGAAAAAGAAAAGAAGAAUAGAAGAAGACCAAAUAAGAGGUCAUAAUAACCAGAUCUGGAGCUGAACCAAGCCAUAAAUAAACAGAGCAAUAAACAGCAACAAAUAAAUCCUAGAAGAGAAAUUUUCAACUUCAAACAAUUUUGACUUAUGACAAAUCCAAAAAUUCUCAAAGAAGUUCUUUAUGUUCACUAAAAUCAGAGGAAAAGUAAAUGAAUUUCUCAGAGAAAACAGCUGAACUUUUUUAGGGUUCAAAA